AACGCUGGCGGCGUGCUUAACACAUGCAAGUCGAACGAGGUUCAUCUGGUGGCAACACCAGAGAAGACCGAGUGGCGAACGGGUGAGUAACACGUGAGCAACCUGUCCCGAAGACUGGGAUAACACCGGGAAACCGGUGCUAAUACCGGAUACCCCCACCGGGUCGCAUGGUCUGGUGAGGAAAUGCCUGCUUCCUAAAAGAUGCAGACGCUUCGGGAGGGGCUCGCGGCCUAUCAGCUAGAUGGUGGGGUAACGGCCUACCAUGGCGUCGACGGGUAGCUGGUCUGAGAGGACGAUCAGCCACACUGGGACUGAGACACGGCCCAGACUCCUACGGGAGGCAGCAGUGGGGAAUCUUGCGCAAUGGGCGAAAGCCUGACGCAGCAACGCCGCGUGGGGGACGAAGGCCUUCUGGGUUGUAAACUCCUUUCAGCAGGGACGAUUGUGACGGUACCUGCAGAAGAAGCCCCGGCCAACUACGUGCCAGCAGCCGCGGUAAUACGUAGGGGGCGAGCGUUGUCCGGAUUCAUU
RNAcentral lists this ribosomal RNA (531 nucleotides) under uncultured Actinomycetes bacterium. RNAcentral describes it as "bacterial SSU rRNA". It matches the Rfam family "Bacterial small subunit ribosomal RNA", at positions 32 to 555 of the family's 1533-position model. The record is from RNAcentral. Lineage: Bacteria; Bacillati; Actinomycetota; Actinomycetes.